RNAcentral lists this ribosomal RNA (408 nucleotides) under uncultured bacterium. RNAcentral describes it as "bacterial SSU rRNA". It matches the Rfam family "Bacterial small subunit ribosomal RNA", at positions 355 to 775 of the family's 1533-position model. The record is from RNAcentral.
UGGGGAAUCUUGCGCAAUGGGCGAAAGCCUGACGCAGCGACGCCGCGUGGGGGAUGAAGGCCUUCGGGUUGUAAACCCCUUUCGGCAGGGACGAAGCUAACGUGACGGUACCUGCAGAAGAAGUCCCGGCUAACUACGUGCCAGCAGCCGCGGUAAGACGUAGGGGACGAGCGUUGUCCGGAUUUAUUGGGCGUAAAGCGCGCGUAGGCGGCUCGGACAGUCGGAUGUGAAAAUCCGGGGCUCAACCCCGGACCUGCAUCCGAUACUUCCGGGCUAGAGGUAGGUAGGGGAGAUCGGAAUUCCUGGUGUAGCGGUGAAAUGCGCAGAUAUCAGGAGGAACACCGGUGGCGAAGGCGGAUCUCUGGGCCUUACCUGACGCUGAGGCGCGAAAGCUAGGGGAGCGAACAG